UACGAAGGGGGCUAGCGUUGCUCGGAAUGACUGGGCGUAAAGGGCGCGUAGGCGGGCGGUUUAGUCAGGCGUGAAAGUCCUGGGCUUAACCUGGGGACGGCGCUUGAUACGGGAUGCCUAGAGUGGGGAAGAGGGACGGGGAAUUCCCAGUGUAGAGGUGAAAUUCGUAGAUAUUGGGAAGAACACCGGUGGCGAAGGCGGCGACCUGGCCCUUUACUGACGCUGAGGCGCGACAGCGUGGGGAGCAAACAGG
RNAcentral lists this ribosomal RNA (253 nucleotides) under uncultured bacterium. Its description in RNAcentral is "partial 16S ribosomal RNA". It matches the Rfam family "Bacterial small subunit ribosomal RNA", at positions 524 to 776 of the family's 1533-position model. The record is from RNAcentral.